Molecule: ribosomal RNA, 246 nt
Filed under: Escherichia coli
Lineage: Bacteria; Pseudomonadati; Pseudomonadota; Gammaproteobacteria; Enterobacterales; Enterobacteriaceae
Description: partial 16S ribosomal RNA
Rfam family: Bacterial small subunit ribosomal RNA
Source: RNAcentral
AUGGAGGGGGAUAACUACUGGAAACGGUAGCUAAUACCGCAUAACGUCGCAAGACCAAAGAGGGGGACCUUCGGGCCUCUUGCCAUCGGAUGUGCCCAGAUGGGAUUAGCUAGUAGGUGGGGUAACGGCUCACCUAGGCGACGAUCCCUAGCUGGUCUGAGAGGAUGACCAGCCACACUGGAACUGAGACACGGUCCAGACUCCUACGGGAGGCAGCAGUGGGGAAUAUUGCACAAUGGGCGCAAG